GCCGAAGUGGUGGAACUGGCAGACACGCACGACUCAAAAUCGUGUGGGCUUGACCCAUGAGGGUUCGACUCCCUCCUUCGGCACCA
This 86-nucleotide transfer RNA is filed under the name Bacillota bacterium. RNAcentral's name for it is "Firmicutes bacterium (anaerobic digester metagenome) tRNA-Leu". It matches the Rfam family "tRNA". Rfam says of the family: Transfer RNA (tRNA) molecules are approximately 80 nucleotides in length. Their secondary structure includes four short double-helical elements and three loops (D, anti-codon, and T loops). The record is from RNAcentral. RNAcentral also lists the same sequence under 1 other name. Lineage: Bacteria; Bacillati; Bacillota.